Molecule: ribosomal RNA, 428 nt
Filed under: uncultured bacterium
Lineage: Bacteria
Description: bacterial SSU rRNA
Rfam family: Bacterial small subunit ribosomal RNA
Source: RNAcentral
UGGGGAAUCUUGCGCAAUGCGCGAAAGCGUGACGCAGCAACGCCGCGUGAGGGAAGAAGGCUUUCGGGUUGUAAACCUCUUUCAGGAGGGACGAAGGUUCGGCAGUGAAUAGCUGACCGGACUGACGGUACCUCCAGAAGAAGCUCCGGCUAACUACGUGCCAGCAGCCGCGGUAAUACGUAGGGAGCAAGCGUUGUCCGGAAUCAUUGGGCGUAAAGCGCGCGUAGGCGGCCCGGUAAGUCCGUUGUAAAAGUCAAAGGCUCAACCUUUGAAAGCCGAUGGAUACUGCCGGGCUAGAGUCCGGAAGAGGCGAGUGGAAUUCCUGGUGUAGCGGUGGAAUGCGCAGAUAUCAGGAGGAACACCUAUAGCGAAGGCAGCUCGCUGGGACGGUACUGACGCUGAGGCGCGAAAGCGUGGGGAGCGAACAG